This 507-nucleotide ribosomal RNA is filed under the name uncultured bacterium. RNAcentral's name for it is "bacterial SSU rRNA". It matches the Rfam family "Bacterial small subunit ribosomal RNA", at positions 26 to 518 of the family's 1533-position model. The record is from RNAcentral.
GUCGUCAGGAUGAACGCUAGCUACAGGCUUAACACAUGCAAGUCGAGGGGCAGCAUUGGAGUAGCAAUACUCAGAUGGCGACCGGCGCACGGGUGAGUAACACGUAUCCAACCUGCCGCUUACUCGGGGAUAGCCUUUACGAAAGAAAGAUUAAUACCCGAUGGUAUAAAGAGUUCGCAUGUUCUCUUUAUUAAAGAAUUUCGGUAAGCGAUGGGGAUGCGUUCCAUUAGAUAGUUGCGGGGUAACGGCCCACCAAGUCUACCGAUGGAUAGGGGUUCUGAGAGGAAGGUCCCCCACAUUGGAACUGAGACACGGUCCAAACUCCUACGGGAGGCAGCAGUGAGGAAUAUUGGUCAAUGGACGAGAGUCUGAACCAGCCAAAGUAGCGUGAAGGAUGACUGCCCUAUGGGUUGUAAACUUCUUUUAUAAGGGAAUAAAGUGAGGGACGUGUCCCUUUUUGUAUGUACCUUAUGAAUAAGGAUCGGCUAACUCCGUGCCAGCCGCGGC